UUGACCUCAAAUCAGGNAGGACUACCCGCUGAACUUAAGCAUAUCAAUA
Molecule: ribosomal RNA, 49 nt
Filed under: uncultured fungus
Lineage: Eukaryota; Fungi
Description: partial 28S ribosomal RNA
Source: RNAcentral